Molecule: long non-coding RNA, 2621 nt
Organism: Spinacia oleracea (spinach)
Lineage: Eukaryota; Viridiplantae; Streptophyta; Magnoliopsida; Caryophyllales; Amaranthaceae
Exons: 3
Source: RefSeq, a predicted model, not a curated record
UGUCGUCCCUUCCCAAAAACUCGUUGGUCAUCUAUGGAGGUCCAUCAGUGACGGUAAUCACAACCUCUAUGAAGUUUUAAGCUUGAAUUCAUCGUUUAUCUUUUAAUUUCUUCUUUCAAUUUCAAUAUUUAUUCAUCUAAUUAAUGUUAUCGAAAUCUAAGGUUUUUCAGAUGAACCUAAUUGGGGAAAAACCGAAGACAAGAUGGGGAUAGAAAUUCAAUAUGUAAUCCACUUACCUCAUUUUAUGGGUUUCAUGAUGCAGUUAAUAAUAAUGCACAUUUCUUUGUUUAAUGUAAAUGAUUUCCAAUGCUAACAAACCCAUCAUCCUUUUUCCCCUACGCCAACUCUUUUCUUCGCGUUUUCUCUAUCCUCAAUUGUUCUGCAGAAGACGCCAUUUUUUCUGUUGCUUCGUCUCUCUCCUUCUUUCAGAUAAUCAUUCAUUAAUUUUAAUAUUUACAAUUUUAAUAGCUGCAAUCACUUCAAUUUCGUUAAUUUUUUGGCUACAUUUUCUGAAUUAAAGUGUGCAAUUUGGUUUCAUUUUCUAGUAUAUUAUGUGGAAUCAACUGUUGAUCUCUAUCCCAAUAUUCCAUCUCUUCAAAUCAUAGUUUUUUUUCAAAAUUUCAUGAAUAUUUAUAUUGAAAUAUGGGGGUAUAUGCUAAAUCACAUUAAUCAAACGGGUAUUAUGCGUCUCGAUUUGAUGCUUUAUCACCUUGGAGAAUUGAUCCCCUUUUUAAGUCUGCUAUAAUUUUAGGAAAAUUUGCAUCUUUUUAAACUAUGAUUUCAAUUUUAUUUUAUAGAAAUCGGCAUUUGAUGAAUUCAUAUUUUCUACGGAUAGUUUUGCGUCUGAAUUUUAAUUGAUUAUGAUGCUUACAAAAUUUAAUAUCCUAAAAAGGUUGAAUAUUUUUUCAUAGGAUUUGAAGGGUUUAUUGUUGCAUACUCCAAUUUUAAUUGAUUCAGAUGCUUACAAAAUUUAAUAUCCUAAAAAAGUUGAUUAUUUUUUCGUAGGAUUUAAAGGGUCUAAGACGGCAAUUGCAAGAUUGUUAGGUGAUUGAAGUUGCAUAUGUAUGUUAUAAGUACUAACGCAUUGGAAAUUAUAAUGAAAGAUGCCCAAUAUCCUAGUUGAAACCUGUAACUAAUGCCCUCAACAGUCUAAUGGACGUACUCGGGUCAUGGAAAAAGUAUUCUCAUGCUUCAGAAACAAAGCUUUUUCAUGGGUGAUGCCUCCACCAAAUGAAGAUUUUUAUCCAGAACAUUCUUAUAAUGGUACGUAUGUGUUGCACAUCGAUUGCGGAAGAGUGCAUGUGGUAAAGAAAGUAUAUUUCGAGCAAGAGAAGAAAGUGAUACACACUAUUUUAUAUGUUUCAUUUAAUUACUUCGGUACUGUGAGGGAGUUGGAAAAAGACGGGUUUAUGGCCUCUUUCGUUCUUCCCUCGCGGAUGUGUGGUAAGCAAUAUUAAGUAAAACGGGACUAAUUGUGGGCGUUGGCUUCUUUUUACUAGUCUUAGGAGUCGCCAUUCAGUUUUCAAUGAGGAAAACUGACAAAACCCAAUUAUUGUGAUACGGAAGUAAAAGCUUGAGAGCCCAGGCUAACGUAUUUGACCACAACGGCCGUAGGUUCCCUUGUGAUCCCUGGUGGGGAGAUCGUUCAAUAUACAUCCAGCGGAGUAGAGAUUGAGGGUUAGGGGGAAAUUUACUAAUACGGGGAGUGCUUAGUAUUAGACCAUGAAGCAGUCCUUACUAGUUCAACGUCACGAAGACGGAACAUACGUUAUACUAUAUUACUAAUCUGAAUUGCUUUUAAUGAACAAAUAUUAACUAACAAUCGUCAAGAGGAUGAUUUAGAUUGAUUUAAGGUACUUAACAAUAAUCCGGAUUUUCCAAAGAAUAUCUUAUUAGGCUUUAUAAAUAAUCAGAUUAUGUUUGACAGAUUUAUAAUCGUGAUUAAAGAAAUAAAAAAAUUAUGGCACGUUACAAUAUAGUUUUGGCUAUAUUGCAGUUCUUAGAAAACUAACCACUUUACUCUACUCGCUUUCCUUUUUAUGCAACGUACUUUCCUCGGCUUUACUAAACUCCAGGGCAGGAUCCAGGCUUAGUUUAAGUGCUUAGACGAGCAGGGUUCCGCUUAACAAGAGUUAAUACGAUGAAACUACGGAAUAUACGGAGUGUACGGGACGAUUAUAAGAACGUAUGGAGAACUUAGGUUCAGGAUUAUAACUUGGGGAUAGUAUGAGAUUAUAAUUCGGUGCCCUUUACUCGGACGAUUAAGGCCCUAUUUAUAAAAAAAUAAGUGCCGGAGAAGAUAAAAAUAUUCAGAGUUUGAUAAGCGCUGAAAAUCAUUGGUGCGCGAGAUAAUUCUCGCACAUAGGACAGGUCUGCGAAACAUUUCUAGCGCAAAGUUUCGUGCUCAAGAGUUGUUUCAGAGUUUGUUUUUGAGUAGGAAUGUAGCGAGUACGUGAGAUAAUACUUGCGCGUGGAUAAUGGUGAGAGUGAUUAGCUGCGCUGGGCCCUGUGCGCAAGAAAUUUCUUGAGCACAAUCUAUUUCCACGCAUUUUUACCUGAAUUAAUCCAGUUUAAUCCGAUUUUCUUCCGGCUUAGAACUCUUUUUACGCCUUUAAUCCUUA